RNAcentral lists this small nuclear RNA (300 nucleotides) under Erinaceus europaeus (western European hedgehog). Its description in RNAcentral is "7SK RNA". It matches the Rfam family "7SK RNA", at positions 1 to 268 of the family's 331-position model. From Rfam's summary of the family: 7SK was discovered as an abundant small nuclear RNA in the mid-70s but a possible function has only recently been suggested. Two independent studies have found that 7SK RNA binds the CDK9/cyclin T complex (known as elongation factor P-TEFb). Lineage: Eukaryota; Metazoa; Chordata; Mammalia; Eulipotyphla; Erinaceidae. The record is from Rfam by way of RNAcentral.
GGAUGUGAGGGCAUCUGGCUGCGACACCUGUCACCCCACUGGUCGCCAGGGUUGAUCAGGCUGAUCUGGCUGGCUGGACGGGCGUCCCCUUCCUCCCUCACCCCCCAUGUGCGUCCCUCCCUGAAGCGGUGCUCGGUCGAAGAGACAGACCGAUCUUCAGUCGAGGGUGUAUGAGUAGCUGUGCUCCCCUGCUAGACCCUCCAAACAAGCUCUCAAGGUGUGUAUGCUUACCACAAUUUUCAUUCAUUCAUUUCCUUCACAUUGGAUAGAGACAGAGAGGAAUUGAGAGGGGAGGGUAAU